GGCUCGCCAACUCGGUCCAGAGCUUCCCGGUGCGCGGCCCGCGGCCUCCGCUGUUCGCCACUCUGCGCGGCGUGGGCUCGUCCGAGCACCGAAACUUUCACUCGGGCAAGAGCGAGCGAGCGAGCAAGCUGGGACGCAGGCUCCACCCGGCCGGCGCCAGAGGGGACGCGCGUCCACGCAACCCCGCUUCGCGGAGCCGAAGGGCCCGGUCGCCGCAGCCGGCUCGCGUCCGAGGAGCGCUGUCAGGGCCAAGGCCAGGGCCCGGGACGCCCGGCUCCCGUCCCUCCCGCGGUCAGACCACGAACGCUGACAAACAAUAAACAAAAGUUCUCCUCUCUCCUGGGAAAAAAGUACACCUCCCUCCACCUCUUCCUCCUCCUCUCCCUCACUUUAGUUUUCAGCCUGCCACAUAUGUAACCCUUUCUUAAAAUUCCAAAAGGAAGGAAGAGGGUAUCACGUUGAAAGACACUGGCACACAGAAGAAUCUGCACCUCAGUGGAGGUUAUAUAGCUAGAGAGUCUCUGAAAAGAGGAAAUUCCUGUGGGAAUGCCCACUGUGCAAGCGAAGGUGAAGUGAUGUUUUAAGGCCACUCUCAUUCAGAACUAUUAAAAAAAAAAAAAAAAAAAAAAAA
Choloepus didactylus (southern two-toed sloth) is the source of this 631-nucleotide long non-coding RNA. RefSeq lists it as uncharacterized. The transcript has 2 exons. Lineage: Eukaryota; Metazoa; Chordata; Mammalia; Pilosa; Megalonychidae. The record is from RefSeq and is a predicted model, not a curated record.